RNAcentral lists this ribosomal RNA (252 nucleotides) under uncultured bacterium. Its description in RNAcentral is "partial 16S ribosomal RNA". It matches the Rfam family "Bacterial small subunit ribosomal RNA", at positions 524 to 776 of the family's 1533-position model. The record is from RNAcentral.
GACGGAGGAUGCAAGUGUUAUCCGGAAUCACUGGGCGUAAAGCGUCUGUAGGUGGUUUAAAAAGUCCACUGUUAAAAAUUGAAGCUUAACUUCAAAGAUGCCGUGGAAACUUUUAAACUUGAGUAUGGUAGGGGUAGAGGGAAUUCCAGUGGAGCGGUGAAAUGUGUAGAUAUUGGAAAGACCACCAAUGGCGAAGGCACUCUACUGGGCCAUUACUGACACUGAGAGACGAAAGCUAGGGGAGCAAAUGGG